Molecule: long non-coding RNA, 958 nt
Organism: Carassius gibelio (silver crucian carp)
Lineage: Eukaryota; Metazoa; Chordata; Actinopteri; Cypriniformes; Cyprinidae
Exons: 3
Source: RefSeq, a predicted model, not a curated record
AGGGCCGUUGCUAAGGUACCCAGGGUGGUUGCUAGGGUAAUCGGGGCGGUUGCUAGGGUGUUGCUAUGCGGUUGCUAGGGUACCCGGGGUGGUUGCUAGGGCGGUUGCUAGGGUCCCCAUGAUGGUUGCUAGGGCCGUUGCUAAGGUACCCAGGGUGGUUGCUAGGGUAAUUGGGGCGGUUGCUAGGGUGUUGCUAUGUGGUUGCUAGGGUACCCGGGGUGGUUGCUAGGGCGGUUGCUAUGGUAACCUGGGUGGUUGCUAGGCAGUUGCUACGGUACUUGGGGUGGUUGCUAAGGUGUUGCUAGGCGGUUGCUAGGGUGUUUUGGCUGGUUGCUAGGCAGUUGCUAUGGUCUCCUGGGUGGUUGCUAUGAUGUUACUAGGUGGUUGGUAGUUGUCACAGAUGGUCACUAUGUAGUUAUUAUAGAGUUCUUAGCCCAUUUGAGCACUUAGCUAAUCAGUAUUAGCAUGUAGCUAAUCACUGCUAGCAUGACUAGCAUGUUGGAAGUCCAGUGUGCUAGCAUGAGUCAAAAAAUCCAACCGCCAUGUCUGUACGAUGUUCUGAUGCAGAGAUAUAGGUCGUGUAGAACGGUUGCUAGGGUACUCCGUUUGGUUGCUAUGGAGUGGCUUGGCAGCUGCCAGUGGUGAUACUCCAAAGUCUGCUUGCCAAUAUAAACCAACCCCCAUGUCUGUACAAUGUUGUGAUGCAGAGAUAUAGAUCUUGCAAAACGGUUGCUAGGGUACUCUGGUUGGUUGCUAGGGAGUGGCCUUGCAGCUGCCAAUGAUGAUACUUCAAAGGUUGCUCACCAAUAUAAACCAACCCCCAUGCUUCUAUGUCUUUCAGAUGUUAAGAUAUCUAUCUUUGGAUUUAGGUUGCUAGGUAGCUCUUAAUGGUUGCUAGGGCGUGGCUAGGUUGUCUUGAAGGAGAUACAUGAUUGGCCGUUUGCUGCCCGAGUCAAAC